CUAUUCUUUCAUUUCUGUGAACUUAUCUAUUGCUUUGGGUGGGUUGUGUUUUAACACUCUCACCCAAAUUUUAAAACUCUAAACAUUUAUUGAUUGUCUGACAGAUUAAAUAAAAAAAUUAAUCAAAACUUUCAACAACGGAUCUCUUGGUUCUCGCAUCGAUGAAGAACGCAGCAAAACGCGAUAUGUAAUGUGAAUUGCAGAAUUUUGUGAAUCAUCGAAUUUUUGAACGCACAUUGCGCCCUUUGGUAUUCCAAAGGGCAUACCUGUUUGAGCGUCAUUUCUUUCUCAUUUUAAAUGGUUUUGUGUAUUUCCUUUUCGAAGGAUUAUACUAAAUGUAAUGGCAUGAUUGUUUCUUGUGAAAGCGUUUUAGGUUUACCAACUACGUGAAGUAACAGGCAAACAGUGGUCAGGCCCGUACAACUACUUUUAAAAAUUUGACCUCAAAUCAGGCAGGAAUACCCGC
This 466-nucleotide ribosomal RNA is filed under the name [Candida] sp. GA1S04. RNAcentral describes it as "eukaryotic LSU rRNA". The stretch from base 127 to 280 matches the Rfam family "5.8S ribosomal RNA". The record is from RNAcentral. Lineage: Eukaryota; Fungi; Ascomycota; Saccharomycetes; Saccharomycetales.